This is a long non-coding RNA of Homo sapiens (human), 1104 nucleotides long. The record is from Ensembl. Lineage: Eukaryota; Metazoa; Chordata; Mammalia; Primates; Hominidae.
AAUAUAAAGAACUACCCAAGACUAGGUAAUUUAUAAAUGAAAGAGGUGUAAUUGACUCACAGUUCCACAUGGCUGGGAAGGCCUCAGGAACCUUACAAUCAUGGCAGGAGGUGAAGAAGAAGCAAGUACCUUCUUCACAAAGCAGCAGGAAAGAGAGAAGUGCAAAGGAGGAACUUCCAAACACUUAUAAAACCAUUGGAUCUCAUGAGAACUCACUCAUUAUCAUGAGAACAAUAUGGGGGAAACAGCCCCUAGGAUCCAAUCAUCUCCCUCCCUCAACAAGCAGGGAUUACAAUUCGAGAUGAGAUUUGGGUGGGGACCCAGAGCCAAACCAUAUCACUUGUGCUGGUGGAGCCUGUAGAAAUAAAGGAGUGAUUGUGUUUGUGUUUCAGAUGAAAUGAGAGUGGCUCUUAUCCUGGAUAACUAUCGGUUGGCUAAUUGGCUGGAUCCCUCACUGGAUUAUAAGGAACACUGUCAUGAAACCAGGGGCCUUGUCAUGAUCAUCAUGUAGAAUCGUACUAGGAAACUAAUUCAAACUCAAUAAACAUUUGUUGAAUAAAUACAAGAAUGAACAGCACACAGCAGCUGCAGGAGGACAGGGAAUGCUUUGGAUUUGAGAGCUGGGCUGAUAACAGACAUUUAUAGACAGUAGCAAUAGGACCCUUUUUGCUGUUUAUCCAUCAACCCUCAAAUCCCAAGUAGAGUACUGGACUUCCCACAGUUAAUGGGGAAGGAGCUCAAGCAGUUCCAUUUGGACAUGAACAGAAAAGGCCCCCAAAAGACCACAUAACUCAGGGGCAAUCAGUUUCCAUCAUUUUUUUAUAGUUAUCUUUCAUAUUAGAUUUUUUCAGGUAAAAUUUACAUAUAGUAAGUGAAAGGCAAAUAUCCUAAGUGUACUUGAUGCGUUUUGACAGUAUUCUCUCAUGUUACCAACAUAUAAACAAAAUAUAGAACAUUUCCAUCACCCAAGUAAGUUCCCUUUGUGCCCCUCUUCCAGUCAAUGCCCAACACCUUUCUCACAGACAACACGUUUUCUUAUGUCAUUCACCAUAGAUUCAUUUAACCUGUCACAAAUGUCAUAUAAAUAAAGUCAAUAGCGCACAC